GAUGAACGCUGGCGGCGUGCCUAAUACAUGCAAGUCGAACGGACAGACGAGGAGCUUGCGCCUCUCACGUUAGCGGCGGACGGGUGUGUAACACGUGGAUAACCUACCUAUAUGACUGGGAUCACUUCGAGAAACCGGAGCUAAUACCGGAUAAUAUAUUGAACCGCAUGGUUCAAUAGUGAAAGACGGUGUUGCUGUCACUUAUAGCUGCAUCCGGGCCGCAUUAGCUAGUUGGUAAGGUAACGGCUUACCAAGGCAACUAUGCGUAGCCGACCUGAUAGGGUGAUCGCCCACACGGGAACUGAGACACCGUCCUGACUCCUACGGGAGGCAGCAGUAGGGAAUCGUACGCAAUGGGCGAAAGCCUGACGGAGCAACGGGGCGUGAGUGAUGAAGGUCUUCGGAUCGUAAAACUCUGUUAUGAGGGAAGAACAAAUGUGUAAGUAACUAUGCACGUCUUGACGGUACCUAAUCAGAAAGCCACGGCUAACUACGUG
RNAcentral lists this ribosomal RNA (497 nucleotides) under uncultured bacterium. Its description in RNAcentral is "partial 16S ribosomal RNA". It matches the Rfam family "Bacterial small subunit ribosomal RNA", at positions 28 to 507 of the family's 1533-position model. The record is from RNAcentral.